GCGAGGGUAGCCAAGCGGUCAACGGCGGCGGACUCAAGAUCCGCUCUCGUAGGAGUUCGUGGGUUCAAUUCCCUCCCCUCGCA
Molecule: transfer RNA, 83 nt
Filed under: Natrinema halophilum
Lineage: Archaea; Methanobacteriati; Methanobacteriota; Halobacteria; Halobacteriales; Natrialbaceae
Rfam family: tRNA
About the family: Transfer RNA (tRNA) molecules are approximately 80 nucleotides in length. Their secondary structure includes four short double-helical elements and three loops (D, anti-codon, and T loops).
Source: Rfam by way of RNAcentral